Eptesicus fuscus (big brown bat) is the source of this 1318-nucleotide long non-coding RNA. RefSeq lists it as uncharacterized. The transcript has 6 exons. The record is from RefSeq and is a predicted model, not a curated record. Lineage: Eukaryota; Metazoa; Chordata; Mammalia; Chiroptera; Vespertilionidae.
UCAUCCUAGGAUAUGUGCUAUCAGCCAUGUGUCCCACUCCCCACCCCUCACAUCCUGUUUGCUCUGGGGAAAUUCAGUAACCACCUGUCCACAUGCGGUUUCUUUUCUAUGAAGAUGAAGCACAGAGGCAUGCUUCCUACACGGCUGAUGGGAGGACCUGGGGCACCAGAGGCCAGCUGCCAGGCCUCUGCUGCCCCUCACUCUGCUCUGCCUGCCUCCUUGCCCUCAGCAACCACCAUUCCUGCUUCCCCACUUGACCUCCCAGCUUCAUUUCCUCACCCUUCGCCAUCAAGUGGCCAUGUGGCUGGUCUCAAUUCUGGGCUCUUCAGGUAUGAGCUGCUGCUCCUGGGCUCCUGUGAAUGGACGACAAUAAUAUUACGCACUCAGCUGGUUGGCGGGCAGGGCUGAGCCACCACUGGCAUGUGGGGAAGGAUCCUGAGCGGCCACUUCAGGGAUUCACUCAGGGCAGGAGGAGGAUCCGUCUCAGACUCAACACAGAAAACCUUUGGUGAAGGACCCGCAGAGGGGCUGGUGACUGUUUCCAAAUCAAGUCAUGCCGUCAUUAAAGUUCACCGGAUUAUCUCCAGAGCAUUUUAUCAGGAACACCAAUUCCGUCCCAGAAGGAAAUUCUGCCCAGAUCAGGCGAGGGGCAAUUUUCAAGGAACUACAUGGAGCUCGGAGCAUCUUCUUCAGCAGAUCCAAUAUGUGGUCCUCCAAGUGGCAGCCUGGGGACUCACGGCCUGGCAGCCAGGAUGCCCCGCAGACCUGGUGCAGGUCCGGCUGAGGUGGGCUGAUAGCCGGCUGCCAUCCCACAGGCCCAAGGGCUUGAGGAAGGCAUGUGGGUCAUAGCCCAGCCUCCAGGAGGAGAAGACUUAGACACCAGGACAAGUGCACACUUUUGCAAAGUCCCUCCAGGAUACUGGAGGAAGAUGAUCCUGCAUUGAGUGGACAUGAAGGCACUCGGUUUUGGAUGGAUGCACUGAGCAGCAGGCCAGUGCAGCAUUACCUGCAGAUCCCAGCAAAGACUCAGAAAGUCCAGUUGGCAACUUGGGCAGGGAUGGCGGCUCUCUGCUCCAUCUAGUCAUUCAGGGAAGUGCUGCCAUUGUCGACAUGAGGAUUUAAAGUCAUCAGGGGAGGGUGAAGACAGCACAAGCAGGACUGGGCCACAGGUGUCUGCAACCUACACCCAGACCCUAGCUUUUACAGUCAGGGAGGUGAGAGGUCAAGGAAGAGGGAGGCCAUGGUGCGAAGAAUAUCGUGGAUGGAGAUGGAUGAGGUCAGAAUUGGGAUGCGCAAGCAACUCGUGAUCAAGACACCA